Molecule: transfer RNA, 84 nt
Filed under: Candidatus Physcosoma equi
Lineage: Bacteria; Pseudomonadati; Spirochaetota; Spirochaetia; Spirochaetales; Sphaerochaetaceae
Description: tRNA-Leu
Rfam family: tRNA
About the family: Transfer RNA (tRNA) molecules are approximately 80 nucleotides in length.
Source: RNAcentral
GCCCAGGUGGCGGAAUUGGUAGACGCGCAUGGUUCAGGUCCAUGUUCUGGUAACGGUGUGUGAGUUCGAGUCUCGUUCUGGGCA